Long non-coding RNA from Oncorhynchus nerka (sockeye salmon), 5471 nucleotides. RefSeq lists it as uncharacterized. NCBI's taxonomy places the organism in Eukaryota, Metazoa, Chordata, Actinopteri, Salmoniformes, Salmonidae. The transcript is spliced from 2 exons. The record is from RefSeq and is a predicted model, not a curated record.
GUAUGGCUAAUUAGAGUGUGUAUCGAGGCUUCGAGUAAAACCUUUCAGAAGUUGAGAUAAAAGUGUUUUGUUUAUUUGUUUAUUGGUUAUAGUCAAUUUUUGGGUUUGAUUUAACUUAGUUGAACAGUGUGUUCUGGCGGGUUUAGGUAGAACUCUUUGUUCCGGAACGGAUGAAAGUUACUCAUAAGUAAGUAAAUUAAAAGAGCCAUGAGGGAAUGUAAAUUAAAUUACGGAUUCCUUACACUGCGAAAUGUACGACAUUUGCGGCAGAGAGAAAAAAUAAUGCAUUGGAUAAUAAUGUUAUCGGGUUAAUUGUAUCUAAAGGUAGCAUGGUCAUUUAAGUAAACAUAUCCGUAGACGAUGUUUAAAACUUAUGAUUAAUGAUUUGAGUCAAAGGGGAAUUAUCAUUAGGUUUUAGUUAUAGUUCACUUAUUGAGUUUCUGAUUCGAGGUAGCAUUAGUGAAUGAUAGUUAGGGAUGUGGUGUCACUUUUAGAGGCCUCCUGGGAUUAUAAUUUUGGGGGAGAGAGCAGCUUUAAACGACCAAAUUGAAAAAGGUCUGCAAAUUAUAUAUAUAUAAAACAACUGUUACAAUGAUUUGUUUUAGUGCAAGGAGAUUUUAAAGAGGCACGCUCACAUAUGGAACCUUAUGAGAUGUUUUUUUAUGGGUUUGAAUUAUACAGGUGACUAUUUCUAUUGUAAGGAUAAAAGGGAUCUUUAUGUCUAAUAUGGUAUGACCUUUUGACCUUGUCAUGACUGGCUUCUGGGGUCUGAUCAGCCCCAGGGGAGAGUCAUUUGUAUAAUGAAUGGAGUCAUAUUGAGUUACUAGUGUUAAGGUAAAUUCAUUAGAAAUGAAGCAGUUUUGGUUGAGGGUUUAGAAUUACUGUUUGAACCGCAAAUGAGAAAGCGGUUCAGGAUUCUGUCUUAUAACAUUAGCUGUGAGUUUUUUUGAAUGGGCUAUUAGGAAGUCUGUAUUGUAACAGAGAGAAAGUCAUGUUCAUCAUUGAGAAUAAAUAGGGGAAGAUAACAUAUUUUGAGCCAACAGGGCAGGGAAGAAAUUUAGGUAUUUUUAUUUGAUUUUAACACCCGUGUACAGGAGUGUCAAAAGACGGGGGACAUUACCUGUGUAAUGGGGGAGGGUGUCCGUAUGGGGAUUACAUGAUAACCAACUUGGAACAGUUCUGGGACUGGAGAAGAGGAUAUCCUUAUGGCAUAGGGAAUCCCACAAAGGUGGAUAGGUUUUCCAUGAUAUGGGGGAAACCUGGGAGUACUGUUGAACUUUGUAAAGGUGAUGAAAUCCUACUAACCAUCAAAACUAUUAAGCUCUCUGAUGCAGGCACUUACACCCCCGGACUACAAAGGACCGGGACAGACACGGCGGGUGUGUUUUCUAUUAAGGUACUGCCAAAACCGGAGGUCUCAGACGGACCGGGGCCAGACACACUCCUCUAUCACCCCUGGACCGAACCUGUCACCACUAUGCUAAAAAUCCCAUUCAGGUAAUUAAUGUUAGACUAUUCAGCUAUUGAUCAAUUAGGCACGGAGACUGGUUUUGAUGGUAGGGACAAUUUGUGGCUGUCUUAUACAGAAUGGACUUGCUUAGAAUAUGCUUCUUGCUAGUCAGGGGGGAGUCUACAAAAUGUUCAGUGAACAAUGUUGUACGUAUAUCCCUAAUAACACCAGUCCAGAUGGUAGUAUAUCUAAGGGCCUUAAAUGGGCUGGAUGCACUAUCUGCUGAGAUGAGGACCAUGGCGGGGGUAGAGGAGUCUGACUGUCCACCCUGGUUGGGAGACUGGUUUGAUAAGUAUACUGGUAUGGUGGUUACUGGAUUUCUGACCCUAAUUCUUGUAUUAUUUGUUAUUAAUGUGAUGUGCUGCUUGCAUCAUACCGUGUUUUAAGAAGUCUGUUACAGAUGUGGUGAAGGCUUCAGGCAUGAUGCCUUUGCUUGAUGCUCCAGUUGGAGAGGCUGAGGUGAAGCAUGCUUUGAGGGGAGGAUAAGACUGACUGAGGAUGACCCAUGUAUGUUUGUUCUCCCUGUCGUGAAGGGUGGCAUGGUGCCCACCUGGUGCUGGAUAAGAAUAGCUGAGAGGACCAGAUGGGUUAUAAGAAUGCUUUGUUCUGCUUUACUCUGUUUUACAGGACCAAAGUUUUAUUCCACACUUUGCAACACAUUAAAUCCAUGUUAUUGUCAGAUAGAAUACUGAGGGUCCCCAAGGAGAGGGCUUGUUAGUGUAGGAAGUAUUUUUAAUAUGGUUAGCAUUUAUUAGAUUAUAAGUUUUUAAAUAGUAUUAUAUUUAACAGGAAUAUAGGACAUCUAUGAGGAGUUAGGAUUAUUGUUAGGAUUAAGAUAGAUUGAUUAAGGAAUUUGGAGAAAAGCCGCUCAUAGACAUGUUUUUUUUUUUCUAAAAGAGGGUCCAUGGGUUUGUAGUUCCCAUGUAGUUCAAAUUUGGAAAACAUGAGAAACAUACAGAGGAGCCCUCCCCCGCACUGCAGAGACCUUGAAGGUUGGAGAGCAGAGAAGUUAGAGGGGGGGCCAGGAAGAGCAAAGAUAACAUCCUAAAUGGAAUUUCAGACAUAAGGAUAAUUCACUAAAUCUUAUCUAAGUCAUUGUAUAAGAAUAAGGCAAGGGGGAUGGGUAAAUAGUGUUCUAGAAUAGGAUGUGACCUACGGGAUAAUUAACUAAUAAAAAAUUUAAAAAAUUGUUAAUUGGUUUGACGAAUAAGAAACUGUUUUAUUAACCAAACCUGUAUGGUCAAAAGUUUUAUGCCCAGCAGGAGAACUACAGAGGGAGGUGGCACACGAGAUUCAACCAGGAGACUGGAUCUGGAUCCAAUCACUAAAAAGAAAAAAAAACUGGAAGCAGCCUCGGUGGGAGGGACCAUUCCAAGUACUACUGGUGACUGCCUUCGCUGUGAGAUUAGCCGAAAGAGCUACCUGGGUACAUAUCACACAUUGUAGGGGGGUAAGUCACACUAGCGCUGUCGGACGAUCACAGGAGUAGGAGAGGAACCGUGACCCAUAUGGAACGGGGGUCAAACUCCUUCUGAAGAUUCCCUAUACCCGACCUUUCCCCAGCUGUGAGCGUUCAUAGAAGUGAAGUGAUGGCUUGGCCUCUGGCUGUUGAUAUGUUCUCGGGGAGAGGGUGGGGCUUCACGUGCGCACUGACCGUCCUGAGCUGUUUUAUUGUGGGGGCCAUAUUCCUGAUUCACCAUGAUCCCCGGAAAGUGCCAAAGAGGAUAAUUUGACUCAUGUGCUAGAUGAGGGAAAUGGGAUGUUACCUAAGAUUCUCAGAAGGUCACUGAAACAAAAUAGUAAGGAAGUGAGGGUGGAAUUGGGCAAGGAUCUCUCAGUAGAAUUUUGUGUAGAUCAAUUGGGGUCAUUCACCCCUUGGCAGUCUAGAACCAUGGGACUCUAUGGGAAGUAUUUGUGUAAAUCACCAUAUUGAUCGUGGACAGGUCAUAGCUCACACUGAAAGGGAUGGCUACGUAAACCCAUACACUCAAUUUGGGACCAGGUGGAGUAUAGUAAGGGUUGGCGUUUUGGACUGUGUUCCUGAACAGAGGAAGUAUUGUAUAAAGGUACGAAUAGUUCAGACCAAAGACCUCAAAGAAGUUAUAGAAGUGGAGACUGGGUUUGGGGAGUCCAACUUAUGGUUGGAAUGGAUUCAAUACGGCCAGAUCAGUGGCUAAAGAAGAAUAUUAUGUCUGUGCGAACGCUAAACCCCAGUUAACAACUAUCCCUUUUCCACUGAACGGAAUUAAUUCCCCUAAGGGAAUGGCAUGUAUGGUAAAGCUGUUCAUGAAAGCAGGAAUGCCAGAUAAUGACAGUUGUCACUAUUUAUAUCCCCAGGAACCAAGUUGGUACAGAGAAAAUGACCACUGACGAGACCAUGUCUGAAUUGACAGGCUGGUUGAACUCUGGGGAUUUCAAUGAAAUAAAAUGGGCCAGUGUCGCCAUCUGGUGGUUGUGCGGGGGAAUGAGUUUGACUGAUUGGACGGGUUAGGAAUGCCUUUUACACUCAUACAACACCAAGACAUGAAGUUAGCCAAAACGAGAGAGAAGAGAUGCUCCAUCUAGGUGUUUUGGCGAAAGAGUAUAUAUUGAUAACAUUGGGGUUCCACGAGGUGUGCCGGAUGAGUUCAAGGCAAGAAAUCAGAUACUAGCAGGAUUAGAGUCAAGUAUUUUUGGUGGUCUACUCUCAAUAAGAAUGUAGACUGGAUUAAUUAUAGUUACCAGAAGGGUUAUUAAAGGGUUUGUAGAACAGACUAAAGCAAUCAGCUGGAAGGCCUGACAGAAUAGAAUUGCAUUAGAUAAAAGGAGGAAGUGGGCGUGGUAAUCAGGACCGUGUCUUACAUCCCGGGUAGCACAGCUCCGGACGAAUCAGUGCCCGAAGCCUCAGCUGGUUUGACCACCCUGGCUCACGGGUUGGCAGAAACUCUGGGGUGGAUAAUUCUCUGAACUAAAUUGGGUAGACAGUAUUUAUGGAAAAAUGUGGUGUUUUGGGCUGUAUCUACCUGUAUGACUGUUUUAAUUUUAUGCGGCUGUUGUCUAAUUCCCUGUGUGCGAGGCCUUGUUUCCAGGACUCUGAAAAGAUCAAUGACACUACAGAUGGUGCGUUAUGGGCCGAUUCCAGGUUCUGACCCAUGUAGGACUGAAGGCAUGUCUACAGAGGAAGUGGACGAAUCUGGAUCUGUCUGGAUCUGUCAUUGUGGGGAAUUUAUGUUUGAUGAGAAUAGUGUUGAGAUGAAGGGGAAUCAGAUUGUAAUUUGUUUCAAUGAUUAAACUAUUUUUUAAUGAAGAUUGUAAAAAGAAAAAAAGAAAAAAUCCUAAAAGAGGAGUUAUGAUUCUGAUGUAGGUUUAAAAGCAGUUGGAGUUAAGGUUAGAAUUGAUUAAUGAAAUGUGAAGAGUUGGAUAAACAUUUAUAAUUGAUUUGUUGAUUAUUUGUCUAUUCAUAUGAUAAUCUGAUAAACCUCUAUAAAAAGGUUAGUUAAGUUCGUUUAUACUUUCAUUUUUUAUGGUUAAAUAAAACUAGAUGUAGAAUGGAAUGUAUAAUAUUUGAUCAAAGGGAGGAUUGAUAGAGGAAAAUAUGUUUGAAAUGACUAAUUAUGUAUACAUUCCAAUCAGAAACUGACUAGUCCAAAUGCUAUAAUGUACUGUCCCUCUUGCUCCCUUUCACAAUUGUAUAUAAUGUAGUCAGGAAGUUUAGUAACAAUGAAGGUCUGUUCCUUAAGUUCAUUCAGUUGUACAAAUCUCCAGGUGGUGGGAACGGGCCAUCUCCAAAAUGGUCGGGAAUGUUGAUUUAUGCUGACUGGCCUUGACUUCGUGCUGAUAACGCGGAGGCUUGAGAAUUAGAGGGGCCCUCUGUUUGUGAAACGGAACGUUUGGAAAACGCUGACGUCAUUUUCAGUUUAUAACCUGUGGUAAUGUGUGUAAGCAUUUAGUACUCACUUGAAUUAAACGCUAUUUACCUGGC